Molecule: small nuclear RNA, 194 nt
Organism: Rhododendron vialii
Lineage: Eukaryota; Viridiplantae; Streptophyta; Magnoliopsida; Ericales; Ericaceae
Product: U2 spliceosomal RNA
Exons: 1
Source: RefSeq, a predicted model, not a curated record
AUAAUUCUCUCGGCCUUCUGGCAAAGAUCAAGUGUAGUAUUUGUUCUUAUUAGUUUAAUAUUUGAUAUGUGGGCCAUCGGUUUACUUUUAUUAAGUUAAUAAUUUUUUGAGGGGAGGGCCCACUACAGUAGUUGCAGGAGCCUAUAAUGCUUUGCCUUGGUAUGGCACUAUUGCCUUGGCUUGGCGCACCCCAA